UAGUAGUUUGACCGUGGCUACGAGGACGAACGCUGGCGGCGCGCCUAACACAUGCAAGUCGAACGGGACUAUGCAAGAUUGAAGUUUUUCGGAUGGAAUUUUGUAUAGUUUAGUGGCGGACGGGUGAGUAACACGUGAGCAACCUGCCUUCGAGAGGGGAAUAACGGCUGGAAACGGUCGCUAAUACCGCAUAACAUACAGGAGGGACAUCCCUUUUGUAUCAAAGAUUUAUCGCUCGAAGAUGGGCUCGCGUCCGAUUAGGUAGUUGGUGAGGUAAUGGCCCACCAAGCCGACGAUCGGUAGCCGGACUGAGAGGUUGAACGGCCACAUUGAGACUGAGACACGGCCCAGACUCCUACGGGAGGCAGCAGUGGGGGAUAUUGCACAAUGGGGGAAACCCUGAUGCAGCGACGCCGCGUGUAGGAAGACGGUCCUCUGGAUUGUAAACUACUGUCCCCAGGGACGAAGAUGACGGUACCUGGGGAGGAAGCUCCGGCUAACUACGUG
RNAcentral lists this ribosomal RNA (507 nucleotides) under uncultured Oscillospiraceae bacterium. RNAcentral describes it as "bacterial SSU rRNA". It matches the Rfam family "Bacterial small subunit ribosomal RNA", at positions 1 to 507 of the family's 1533-position model. The record is from RNAcentral. Lineage: Bacteria; Bacillati; Bacillota; Clostridia; Eubacteriales; Oscillospiraceae.